This is a long non-coding RNA of Hemicordylus capensis (graceful crag lizard), 2834 nucleotides long. RefSeq lists it as uncharacterized. NCBI's taxonomy places the organism in Eukaryota, Metazoa, Chordata, Lepidosauria, Squamata, Cordylidae. The transcript has 2 exons. The record is from RefSeq and is a predicted model, not a curated record.
GGAACGGGGGGGGGGCAGAGAGAGAGAGAGAGAGGCGAGCGACGCAAUCCCGCCUGGCAACUCAAUGCAGCCCCUCUUCGCCUCUUAGGCGGGAGCCCAGCUCGGCGGCGGCAGCGGCGGCGGCUCUUGUCAGCCCGCCAAAUCGCCUUGAACCAGCUUUUGAAAAUGAUCGUCAUUCCUGGGACGCUGCCUAGUCGCUUUUCCUAAGUCUUCUGCCGUACAGACUUUUCCAACCAAAAAACAUCUGUCUUUUACCACAAGAUGGCGCGUGAAGGACGAGUAGUUUCUGCCACACCUUCAUUGACCAAACUUCAAGAAACAAAUCUGGUCUGGAAGUGGCAAACCUGUUGUCUGGGUUGUACACUUCGUCGGAGCCUGAUUAAAUGUUCUCGCCGUAUAAAAAGUUAUCUCUUCACAUAGAAAGCGAUAUGAAAGGGAACGGCUUUAGCCUGUCUUCUAACCCGAUAUGCUUUGUGCAGAUUAUUUUUAUUAUGUGAAGUCAUGUGAUCUCCCAUCUGCAGUCUGAAAAAGCCCAGAUACAAGUUUUUCAUUUCCAUGAGAUCUACUGUUUGCAACCACUGCCUGCUAUUAGAAAAUUCCUAAUUUGUUAUAUUACUAGUGGGGCAAAAAUUGGCUUAGGUUCAUAUAACUAAGAGUAAGUAAAUAUCAGAAAUAUAUGCAGGGGCGUAACUAUAAUAGGGAAAGGGGAGACAGUUGUCUGGGGGCCCACUGCCUUGCCCCCUGAAUAUAUGAAUGAUUAUUUACCUAGAAUUCUAAAUUUUUACUCAAAAAUGUAUCACAUUUUAUCUUUACCGUUGCUGUGUGUUCAUUAAGAAGUUCUGAAAUCAAACUAAUUGAAGUGAUCUAGUUGUAUAAAUCCUGGGCCAAGAUAAUGAAGGUGAUGUAACAGCAGCAAAGUAGUAGUGCAAUGCCAUUUUAGAAAUGUACUGUCAUGAGACUGAAGUCAUGAAUGCUGAGUGGCCAGCUCAGUGGCCCAUGAUCCAGGCGGUCAAGAACUGUCCCUGGGAUUAAUGACUGAGAAUUCCAGAGAAUGGAAUUCCACACUCUUACAGAAUGUGGGGAAGCCAUAAGAGUGUGCCUGGGAGCGAGUAGUACAUCUGUGUGUGUGUGUGUGUGUGUGUGUGUGUGUGUGUGUGUGUGACAAAGAGGGAACAAAAUUAGUGACAGGCUGCAGCUAGGGAGACUGAAGAACAAGCAGUUUGUGAAUGAAACAGAGUACAUAUUGCUUACUUCCAUCUGAUACUCAACCUGUGUAUUUGUAAAUAUAUCCAAAAUUACAAAUGCACCCUAAGGUUGCAGUGAUCUUUUCUCAGAAGGAGGCAGUAGUGUUGCCCCCUAGAACUUCUCACCACUUAGGGAUAUGGAGAGCGCAUGUAACAGUAUAGUCAGCAAUGUAUAAUAGAACAAAACUAUAGACAAUAAUAAUAAACCAUUAAAUGACAUUGCUUCUGACAUGGCAAUUAGCCCUUGAGUUGUACAUUCCCAACUGAUUGCCAAGUGGCCUCUUUAUCAAUUUGAAUUGCUCAAUUGCUGUCUCCCAGAGUCAUAGGAUGGACAGUUAAAGAACAAAUAGAAAAUAUUUUUUUGAACAGUCAAAUAUUAAAUGGCUAAAGCUCAACAGUAUUAUACUAUCACCCCCUGAAACAUAUGGCUUUUAUAGCUCAAUCUGGAUCAUUUGUUGAAAGCUCCAGUUUAGUGCAGAAAUCUGUGAAAAAUAUAGCAGAGGAUGUCCGUGAGCAUGUACAGAGAGCAUUCCUUUCACGCUGAGCAAACCACAGUAAGCUCACCCAUAUGGAAAUAGGAACUUCUCAUUCACAAAAGGUGCCUUUGGGGCAGAUUUGUCUCACAGUACAUUGUUGAGAACGUAAACAUUCCCCAUCAGUACCUUAAAUCUUGGCCAUCGAAAAGUCAGUCCAAACAGAAUAAAGUUUCUAAAAGAUGCCCACUAUAGAGCUCGCUACGAGGCACCUCCAUGGUAAUGAUUAAAUGUAUGAACAUGUACUGUACAGCAGUUGGAAAAGUGAUUUAUGAUGGCAAAGAAAUGAAGUCAUUGUUGGUGGUGCAAUGUUGCAUUACAUUUACAUAAUGUUUAACUAAAAUGUGCUUCCUAGACAAACACCAGUUUUUCAUGUUAAACAAUGUAAGGUUUAUUCUCACAUUAAGAAAAAAUCAGUUGGAUUCUGCAAUACCUAUAAGCCAGAUUUUUAAAAAAAUUCUUAAGUUGCUUCAGGCCUAGGUCCUGUUGUAUAUGCAAUAUCUGCAGUGAAAGCAAGGCACUUUGGAAAGUGGUUGCAACAAUUUUCCCCCAUUGCUGGGAUAUUGUGGAUUCUGGAACGCUGGGUACAAACAGAGCAGGGUGUAUACUUAAAUGGUAGAAAGUGGAAACAGUUGGACAAAAACCAUGUCAGGGUUUUGCUGCAGUGAUGCUUUAAAUUUAAAUUUCACUUUUUGAAAAGCCAUGCCAUAUGAAGCUCUGUGCAGAGUGAAGCAUUAACACCCCAUAUUGUGCAAAAAAUGCAGUAAUUAUAUUAUCAAAGCCCUGUUUUCCAAUUUCCUGUAAGCUAGUCAGGUGGACAGAAAAUAAAUGUCAGUGGUACCAUUUUCCAAUUCGAAGUGAAAGGGCAGGGCCUCUGAUCUAAUAAUGUUGGAAGAUAAUGUUUUGACUGCUAUCAAAGCAGCUGAUUGAUGUCUUCACUUCAGCAGCACCGCAACAAGUCAUGUAUUACCUAAAAAAGAGUCCUUUAAAAUCAUUUGCUUUCCAACUGACCAGACUUCUCUAAUAUAUCCUUAUUAAAAUGUUCUUUAAACUGCAA